RNAcentral lists this ribosomal RNA (532 nucleotides) under Priacanthus blochii (Paeony bullseye). RNAcentral describes it as "partial 16S ribosomal RNA". It matches the Rfam family "Bacterial large subunit ribosomal RNA", at positions 1849 to 2576 of the family's 2925-position model. Lineage: Eukaryota; Metazoa; Chordata; Actinopteri; Priacanthiformes; Priacanthidae. The record is from RNAcentral.
GAGGUCCUGCCUGCCCAGUGACACCCUGUUUAACGGCCGCGGUAUUUUAACCGUGCAAAGGUAGCGCAAUCACUUGUCCUUUAAAUGAGGACCUGUAUGAAUGGCAUGACGAGGGCUAAGCUGUCUCCUUUUUCCAGUCAAUGAAAUUGAUCUCCCCGUGCAGAAGCGGGGAUACACCCAUAAGACGAGAAGACCCUGUGGAGCUUUAGACACUAAGACAGAUCUUACUAAAUUUGCUUAAAACAACAUAGCAAGACUAAAUUAGAGCCCUGCCUGAAUGUCUUUGGUUGGGGCGACCACGGAGCAACACGAAACCUCCACGCGGAACGGACGAACCACUUCCUAAAACAAGAGCUACAGCUCUAGUUAACAGAAUUUCUGACCACUAAGAUCCGGCAACGCCGAUCAACGGACCGAGUUACCCCAGGGAUAACAGCGCAAUCCCCUUCCAGAGACCGUAUCACCAAGGGGGUUUACGACCUCGAUGUUGGAUCAGGACAUCCUAGUGGUGCAGCCGCUAUUAAGGGUUCGU